UGGGGAAUAUUGCACAAUGGAGGGAACUCUGAUGCAGCGACGCCGCGUGAGUGAUGAAGGACUUCGUUUCGUAAAACUCUGUUCUAUGGGAAGAAAAGGACUGUACCAUAGGAGAAAGCUCCGGCUAAAUACGUGCCAGCAGCCGCGGUAAUACGUAUGGAGCGAGCGUUGUCCGGAAUUAUUGGGCGUAAAGGGUGCGCAGGCGGCUUUACAAGUUGGAUGUGAAAUAUUGUGGCUCAACCACAAACGUGCAUCCAAAACUGCAAAGCUUGGGUUAAGGAGAUGUAAGUGGAAUGCCUGGUGUAGCGGUGGAAUGCGUAGAUAUCAGGAGGAAUACCGGUGGCGAAGGCGACUUACUGGACUUAAACUGACGCUCAGGCACGAAAGCGUGGGGAGCAAACAGG
Molecule: ribosomal RNA, 404 nt
Filed under: Fusobacteriota bacterium
Lineage: Bacteria; Fusobacteriati; Fusobacteriota
Description: Fusobacteria bacterium partial 16S ribosomal RNA
Rfam family: Bacterial small subunit ribosomal RNA
Source: RNAcentral